CCUACGGGAGGCUGCAGUGGGGAAUAUUGGACAAUGGGGGGAACCCUGAUCCAGCCAUGCCGCGUGUGUGAAGAAGGCCCUCGGGUUGUAAAGCACUUUCAGUGAGGAAGAACGCCUGGUGGUUAAUACCCAUCAGGAAAGACAUCACUCACAGAAGAAGCACCGGCUAACUCCGUGCCAGCAGCCGCGGUAAUACGGAGGGUGCGAGCGUUAAUCGGAAUUACUGGGCGUAAAGCGCGCGUAGGUGGCUUGAUAAGCCGGUUGUGAAAGCCCCGGGCUCAACCUGGGAACGGCAUCCGGAACUGUCAAGCUAGAGUGCAGGAGAGGAAGGUAGAAUUCCCGGUGUAGCGGUGAAAUGCGUAGAGAUCGGGAGGAAUACCAGUGGCGAAGGCGGCCUUCUGGACUGACACUGCCACUGAGGUGCGAAAGCGUGGGUAGCAAACAGGAUUAGAUACCCCUGUAGUC
RNAcentral lists this ribosomal RNA (465 nucleotides) under Vreelandella stevensii. RNAcentral describes it as "partial 16S ribosomal RNA". It matches the Rfam family "Bacterial small subunit ribosomal RNA", at positions 338 to 795 of the family's 1533-position model. The record is from RNAcentral. Lineage: Bacteria; Pseudomonadati; Pseudomonadota; Gammaproteobacteria; Oceanospirillales; Halomonadaceae.